AAACCAACAGGGAUUGCCUUAGUAACUGCGAGUGAAGCGGCAAGAGCUCAAAUUUGAAAUCUGGCACCUUUGGUGUCCGAGUUGUAAUUUGUAGAAGCAACUUUUGAAUUGGUCCUUGCAUAUGUUCCUUGGAACAGGACAUCAUAGAGGGUGAGAAUCCCGUUCAUGGUGGGGAAUUUCAAUUCUUUGUAAAGUGCUUUCGAAGAGUCGAGUUGUUUGGGAAUGCAGCUCUAAGCGGGUGGUAAAUUCCAUCUAAAGCUAAAUAUUGGCGAGAGACCGAUAGCGAACAAGUACAGUGAUGGAAAGAUGAAAAGUACUCCGAAAGGAGAGUGAAAAAGGACGUGAAAUUGUUGAAAGGGAAGUGCUUGAGAUCAGUCUUAAGAUUUAACGAUCAAUCUUCCUUUUGGUUGAUGCACUCGUUUUUUCUUAGGCCAGCAUCAGUUUUCGUGGCAGGAUAAUGACAUUGGAAUGUGGCUCUUUCGGGAGUGUUAUAGACUUUGUUGAUACUGCUUACUUAGACUGAGGACCGCGCAUUUGCUAGGAUGCUGGCAUAAUGAUCUUAAUCAGC
This is a ribosomal RNA of 568 nucleotides. It matches the Rfam family "Eukaryotic large subunit ribosomal RNA", at positions 62 to 648 of the family's 3401-position model.